AUUGAACGCUGGCGGCAGGCCUAACACAUGCAAGUCGAACGAGUGGCGGACGGGUGAGUAAUGUCUGGGAAACUGCCUGAUGGAGGGGGAUAACUACUGGAAACGGUAGCUAAUACCGCAUACCAUCGGAUUUGCCCAGAUGUGAUUAGCUAGUGGUGGGGGUAAAGGCUCACCUAGGCGACGAUCCCUAGCUGGUCUGAGAGGGUGACAAGACACACUGGAACUGAGACCCGGUCCAGACUCCUACGGGAGGCACCAGGGGGGAAGAUUGCACAAGGGGCGCAAGCCGGAUGCAGACAUGCCGCGUGUAUGAAGAAGGCCUUCGGGGUGUAAAGUACUUUCAGCGGGGAGGCGUUACCCGCAGAAGAAGCACCGGCUAACUACGUGCCAGCAGCCGCGGUAAUAC
RNAcentral lists this ribosomal RNA (406 nucleotides) under uncultured bacterium. RNAcentral describes it as "partial 16S ribosomal RNA". It matches the Rfam family "Bacterial small subunit ribosomal RNA", at positions 29 to 526 of the family's 1533-position model. The record is from RNAcentral.